This 1195-nucleotide ribosomal RNA is filed under the name Trichodesmium sp. St18_bin1. Its description in RNAcentral is "SSU rRNA". It matches the Rfam family "Eukaryotic small subunit ribosomal RNA", at positions 1 to 1196 of the family's 1831-position model. The record is from RNAcentral. Lineage: Bacteria; Bacillati; Cyanobacteriota; Cyanophyceae; Oscillatoriales; Microcoleaceae.
CGAGAUACCUGGUUGAUCCUGCCAGUAGUCAUAUGCUUGUCUCAAAGAUUAAGCCAUGCAUGUCUAAGUACAAGCCUGAAUAAGGUGAAACCGCGAAUGGCUCAUUAAAUCACACCUAAUGUACCUGGAAGUUCCAUUACUUGGAUAACUGCGGUAAUUCUGGAGCUAAUACAUGCUAAAGAGCCCUGACUCACGGAGGGGCGCAUUUAUUAGAUCAAAACCAAACGCUUCGGCGUUCAUUGGUGAAUCUGAAUAACUUUUGCUGAUCGUAUGGCUCAACGCCGACGACGUUCCAGUCCAAGGUGUGCCCUAUCAACUUUCGACUGUGAUAUAGACGCUCACAGUGGUUUUGACGGGUAACGGGGAAUUAGGGUUCGAUUCCGGAGAGGGAGCCUGAGAAACGGCUACCACUUCUAAGGAAGGCAGCAGGCACGCAAAUUACCCAAUGGUCGAAGACCGAGGUAGUGACGAAAAAUAACGAUACCGGUCUCUUCCGAGGCCCGGUAAUCGGAAUGAGUACACUUUAAAUCCUUUAACGAGGAACAAUUGGAGGGCAAGUCUGGUGCCAGCAGCCGCGGUAAUUCCAGCUCCAAUAGCGUAUAUUAAAGUUGUUGCGGUUAAAAAGCUCGUAGUUGGAUUUCGGCGAUCAGGGGCCGGUGAUAUAUUUGUAUCUACUGGCCCAUUUGGUCGUAUUUUUGAAAGAGGGUUUGGGGUCCCCUUCACUGGGUGUCCUAGGUCGCUUUCAGGUUUACUUUGAAAAAAUUAGAGUGCUCAAAGCAGGCUUUAACGCUUGAAUAUUCGUGCAUGGAAUAAUAGAAUAGGAAGUUCGUUUCUAUUUUGUUGGUUUUAGGAUAACGACUUAAUGAUUAAUAGGGACAAUCGGGGGAAUUAGUAUUCAAACGACAGAGGUGAAAUUCUUGGACCGUUUGAAGACUAACUACUGCGAAAGCAUUUUCCAAGAGUGUUUUCAUUAAUCAAGAACGAAAGUUAGAGGUUCGAAGGCGAUCAGAUACCGCCCUAGUUCUAACCAUAAACGAUGCCAGCUAGCGAUCUGCUGACGUUUUUACUGUAGACUCAGCAGGAAGCUUCCGGGAAACCAAAGCAUUUGGGUUCCAGGGGAAGUAUGGUUGCAAAGCUGAAACUUAAAGGAAUUGACGGAAGGGCACCACCAGGAGUGGAGCCUGUGGCUUAAUUU